UGGGGAAUAUUGCACAAUGGGGGGAACCCUGAUGCAGCGACGCCGCGUGGGUGAAGAAGUAUUUCGGUAUGUAAAGCCCUGUCAGCAGGGAAGAAGAAUGACGGUACCUGACCAAGAAGCACCGGCUAAAUACGUGCCAGCAGCCGCGGUAAUACGUAUGGUGCAAGCGUUAUCCGGAUUUACUGGGUGUAAAGGGAGCGCAGGCGGCGCGUUAAGUCUGAUGUGAAAACCCGCGGCUCAACUGCGGGACUGCAUUGGAAACUGGCGGGCUUGAGUGCCGGAGAGGCAAGCGGAAUUCCUAGUGUAGCGGUGAAAUGCGUAGAUAUUAGGAGGAACACCAGUGGCGAAGGCGGCUUGCUGGACGGUAACUGACGCUGAGGCUCGAAAGCGUGGGGAGCAAACAGG
RNAcentral lists this ribosomal RNA (405 nucleotides) under uncultured bacterium. RNAcentral describes it as "bacterial SSU rRNA". It matches the Rfam family "Bacterial small subunit ribosomal RNA", at positions 355 to 776 of the family's 1533-position model. The record is from RNAcentral.